UACUUAAUAGCUAGCUUACAUAACCAACCUUAACAAACAAUAUUAAUACCUUAAAAUUUACUUACUUUUACCUAAAAUUAAAACAUUUAUCUUCUCUAGUACAGGCGAUAGAAAAAGAAACAUAUAUUUUCAAAGCUAUAAUUAAAGUACCGCA
Molecule: ribosomal RNA, 154 nt
Filed under: Laimosemion geayi
Lineage: Eukaryota; Metazoa; Chordata; Actinopteri; Cyprinodontiformes; Rivulidae
Description: partial 16S ribosomal RNA
Source: RNAcentral